Molecule: long non-coding RNA, 671 nt
Organism: Daphnia pulex (common water flea)
Lineage: Eukaryota; Metazoa; Arthropoda; Branchiopoda; Diplostraca; Daphniidae
Exons: 5
Source: RefSeq, a predicted model, not a curated record
AAUUGAAAGAACUAACAAACAAAGGCUUUGAUACUCACGUAGUAUUCACUAUUCUCCCCUUCAAAUUUGUAUCUCGUCUUCACCCAAAAAUGAAGAAGCCACCACCGCAGCAUUACACAUCAAACAGACGAAAUCAAAAAGGUUGUGAUGGCCAUUGAUGGAGCAGCAUAGGAAUGCGACAGCUUUGUCUGGGUCUGGGCUAACUGCCCUACUAGAUAGAAUCCUCUUGGAAACUUCGUCUGCUCCUAAGUAACACAAAUACACCUCUUAAGUUACUUCCAAAAAUCAAAACAAAUUUAGAUUAGGAUUUCUAGAAAUUUCAGCUGACGUUUUUGUGUGACCUAGGUGCUUGUGGCAAUAGAGAUCAAAUGGGUCAAUCCAAUAAUGUUAACUUCCCUUGUCAAAUCAUAGUAAUAAUCUUCAAGAUAUUGAUGCCUUCCCCAGAUCCAAUUCUUUGCUGCUAUCUCUUUUGCAGACAACAGUAAAAUAAUGCUUCAACUCAAGAGGUUGUGGUGACUGCUACUUAGUUCUAAUAUAGGACAGUGUAACAUUGGUAGAUUUAAGGCAGUCUCUCCCUGCCUUGAUUGACGUUUGAACCGGACGAUUUGUUCAUUAAAUUUUUAUGUAAUAAUAGCUAUUAUCAUGAUAUAAAAAAAAUUUAUUUCAUUUUU